CAACUCCCAUCUCAGACGCCGCUCCUCCUCCUCCUCCAACCAUUUUUCCGGUGACCUCCCUCUUCUCUUUCGACCAGUUUUUUGUGCUUUUUAAUGCAUUAUUUUUUUUAGAGUUAUGGAAACUAAUGAUGGUCGACAACAAUGGACGGAUGAGGCUGUUAAAUGCUUAUUAGAAACAUGUCUUGAAGAAAUAGGGAGGAUAGGUAGAAAUGGACAAAGCUUGUGCAGGGAGUCUUGGGUUAUAGUAGGGAAGAAACUCAAGGAACAAUUUCACAUGGAUUUGACUCAAAAGCAAAUUAGAAAUGCUUUUGAUAUUAUGAAAUCAAAAUAUGUAGGAUGGUGCUAUUU
Molecule: long non-coding RNA, 348 nt
Filed under: Helianthus annuus (common sunflower)
Lineage: Eukaryota; Viridiplantae; Streptophyta; Magnoliopsida; Asterales; Asteraceae
Source: RNAcentral